This 301-nucleotide ribosomal RNA is filed under the name uncultured bacterium. Its description in RNAcentral is "partial 16S ribosomal RNA". It matches the Rfam family "Bacterial small subunit ribosomal RNA", at positions 509 to 808 of the family's 1533-position model. The record is from RNAcentral.
CAGUCGCCGCGGUAAAACGUAGGUCCCGAGCGUUGUCCGGAUUUAUUGGGCGUAAAGCGAGCGCAGGCGGUUAGAUAAGUCUGAAGUUAAAGGCUGUGGCUUAACCAUAGUACGCUUUGGAAACUGUUUAACUUGAGUGCAAGAGGGGAGAGUGGAAUUCCAUGUGUAGCGGUGAGAUGCGUAGAUAUAUGGAGGAACACCGGUGGCGAAAGCGGCUCUCUGGCUUGUAACUGACGCUGAGGCUCGGAAGCGUGGGUAGCGAACAGGAUUAGAUACCCGCGUAGUCCCUGUCUCUUAUACA